AGUGAACGCUGGCGGUAGGCCUAACACAUGCAAGUCGAACGGCAGCGCAGUAAGAGCUUGCUCUUACGGGUGGCGAGUGGCGGACGGGUGAGGAAUACAUCGGAAUCUACUUUUUCGUGGGGGAUAACGUAGGGAAACUUACGCUAAUACCGCAUACGACCUACGGGUGAAAGCAGGGGAUCUUCGGACCUUGCGCGAUUGAAUGAGCCGAUGUCGGAUUAGCUAGUCGGCGGGGUAAAGGCCCACCAAGGCGACGAUCCGUAGCUGGUCUGAGAGGAUGAUCAGCCACACUGGAACUGAGACACGGUCCAGACUCCUACGGGAGGCAGCAGUGGGGAAUAUUGGACAAUGGGCGCAAGCCUGAUCCAGCCAUACCGCGUGGGCGAAGAAGGCCUUCGGGUUGUAAAGCCCUUUUGUUGGGAAAGAAAAGCAGCAGGUUAAUACCCCGCUGUUCUGACGGUACCCAAAGAAUAAGCACCGGCUAACUUCGUG
This 492-nucleotide ribosomal RNA is filed under the name uncultured bacterium. RNAcentral describes it as "partial 16S ribosomal RNA". It matches the Rfam family "Bacterial small subunit ribosomal RNA", at positions 29 to 507 of the family's 1533-position model. The record is from RNAcentral.